RNAcentral lists this long non-coding RNA (623 nucleotides) under Homo sapiens (human). RNAcentral's name for it is "non-protein coding SNHG1:53". The stretch from base 348 to 462 matches the Rfam family "Small nucleolar RNA SNORD22". The record is from RNAcentral. Lineage: Eukaryota; Metazoa; Chordata; Mammalia; Primates; Hominidae.
UCUGCAGGAUUUACGCGCACGUUGGAACCGAAGAGAGCUCUGUUGUUGCAAUGUUCAGCCCACAAGAGCUUACUGGUGAAGGAAUGGGACAAGACCCAUCUUUAUGCAAAGCCAGCGUUACAGUAAUGUUCCAGCAUCUCAUAAUCUAUCCUGGGGAAUUCAGCUGCCUCCCAGGGUGAAUACAGGUAUUCCUGAUGACAGUCUGCCUCUAUCUUACAGAGCAGCUUGUUGCUAUAUACCAUUGAAAAGCCUUCAGAGCUGAGAGGUACUACUAACCAAUAACCUGCUUGGCUCAAAGGGCCAGCACCUUCUCUCUAAAGCCCAAGAGGAGUUUGAGGAAAACUAGGUGUCUGUGUUCACUCCAGGCUGAAGUUACAGUCCCAGAGCCUGUAAAGGUGAACCCACUGGGACUGGCUGGGGGAGAAGAGGAAGAUUUGUUCCAGAAGGAACUGUCUGAGGGAUGAUAAAGAUUUCUAUACAGAGAAAGGGAGUAAUCAUCACUUGUUGAAAACAUUGGUUUUAUUUUUUCCAGGUCUGAGCAAAUAAGGUGUAUAAAAAAUGGUAGGUAUCUGUUUAAAUAUUUAACUGAUUUUAUAAUAGCAACCUUUUGCUCCUAGGUUACA